Molecule: ribosomal RNA, 253 nt
Filed under: uncultured bacterium
Lineage: Bacteria
Description: partial 16S ribosomal RNA
Rfam family: Bacterial small subunit ribosomal RNA
Source: RNAcentral
UACGAAGGGGGCUAGCGUUGUUCGGAAUCACUGGGCGUAAAGCGCACGUAGGCGGAUUGUUAAGUCGGGGGUGAAAUCCUGAGGCUCAACCUCAGAACUGCCUUCGAUACUGGCGAUCUUGAGUCCGGAAGAGGUUGGUGGAACAGCUAGUGUAGAGGUGAAAUUCGUAGAUAUUAGCUAGAACACCAGUGGCGAAGGCGGCCAACUGGUCCGGAACUGACGCUGAGGUGCGAAAGCGUGGGGAGCGAACAGG